CCAGUCGGCCCGGGGGCAGAACCUUGUCCCGCGGACCUUACGCGCCCGGACGCCGGCCGAGAUCUCAAGCCAAAGCCCCAUUGCAGUAGCCGUGCCUGCGGUCCUAUUGACCCCACGGCGAUGGACCUGAAUUUGCAUGAAGGUUGACUCUUCACGGCCACCUAGUUUAAUCGAGGAAUCCAAAUGAAACCUCACUCAAGGAAGCCAUAAAAUUAUCUCUUGCCAUUGCAGUCCAGUGCCAACUUGAAACGUACACAGAUGCAAAUAACGCUCCGAACACCUGAGGUUUGAAAUCCCAGAGCAAGGCGCCUUUGAUACUCCCAGUGCCUGAGGUCGGCCCCCACGCCCUGUUGUGACACACAUGCCUAAGCACUACGCCUGCAACACGCUCACACUCAGAGAGGUACCAAAAUAGAAGACUGCCAGAAAGAGGUGUUUGGUUACACAUCGCAGAUGACUGUCACAAGCCAAUUUAGCCAAAGCAGUAAAAGCCGCAUAUCCCA
This is a long non-coding RNA of Neofelis nebulosa (Clouded leopard), 503 nucleotides long. RefSeq lists it as uncharacterized. The record is from RefSeq and is a predicted model, not a curated record. The transcript is spliced from 2 exons. NCBI's taxonomy places the organism in Eukaryota, Metazoa, Chordata, Mammalia, Carnivora, Felidae.